UGGGGAAUAUUGGACAAUGGGGGCAACCCUGAUCCAGCAAUGCCGCGUGUGUGAAGAAGGUCUUCGGAUUGUAAAGCACUUUCGACGGGGACGAUGAUGACGGUACCCGUAGAAGAAGCCCCGGCUAACUUCGUGCCAGCAGCCGCGGUAAUACGAAGGGGGCUAGCGUUGCUCGGAAUGACUGGGCGUAAAGGGCGUGUAGGCGGUUUACACAGUCAGAUGUGAAAUCCCCGGGCUUAACCUGGGAGCUGCAUUUGAUACGUGUAGACUAGAGUGUGAGAGAGGGUUGUGGAAUUCCCAGUGUAGAGGUGAAAUUCGUAGAUAUUGGGAAGAACACCGGUGGCGAAGGCGGCAACCUGGCUCAUGACUGACGCUGAGGCGCGAAAGCGUGGGGAGCAAACAGGUUAGAUACCCUGGUAGUCCACGCUGUAAACGAUGUGUGCUAGAU
RNAcentral lists this ribosomal RNA (448 nucleotides) under uncultured bacterium. Its description in RNAcentral is "partial 16S ribosomal RNA". It matches the Rfam family "Bacterial small subunit ribosomal RNA", at positions 355 to 821 of the family's 1533-position model. The record is from RNAcentral.